Molecule: ribosomal RNA, 484 nt
Filed under: uncultured bacterium
Lineage: Bacteria
Description: partial 16S ribosomal RNA
Rfam family: Bacterial small subunit ribosomal RNA
Source: RNAcentral
AUUGAACGCUAGCGGGAUGCUUUACACAUGCAAGUCGAACGGCAGCGCGGACUUCGGUCUGGCGGCGAGUGGCGAACGGGUGAGUAAUGUAUCGGAACGUGCCCAGUAGCGGGGGAUAACUACGCGAAAGCGUAGCUAAUACCGCAUACGCCCUACGGGGGAAAGCAGGGGAUCGUAAGACCUUGCACUAUUGGAGCGGCCGAUAUCGGAUUAGCUAGUUGGUGAGGUAACGGCUCACCAAGGCGACGAUCCGUAGCUGGUUUGAGAGGACGACCAGCCACACUGGGACUGAGACACGGCCCAGACUCCUACGGGAGGCAGCAGUGGGGAAUUUUGGACAAUGGGGGCAACCCUGAUCCAGCCAUCCCGCGUGUGCGAUGAAGGCCUUCGGGUUGUAAAGCACUUUUGGCAGGAAAGAAACGUCGCGGGCUAAUACCCCGCGGAACUGACGGUACCUGCAGAAUAAGCACCGGCUAACUACGUG